UCCCUGGUAGCUCAGAUGGUAAAGAGUCUGCUUGCAGUGGAGGAGACCCAGGUUUGAUUCCUGGUUUGGGAA
This 72-nucleotide transfer RNA is filed under the name Ovis aries (sheep). It matches the Rfam family "tRNA". Rfam says of the family: Transfer RNA (tRNA) molecules are approximately 80 nucleotides in length. Their secondary structure includes four short double-helical elements and three loops (D, anti-codon, and T loops). Lineage: Eukaryota; Metazoa; Chordata; Mammalia; Artiodactyla; Bovidae. The record is from Rfam by way of RNAcentral.